AACGAACGCUGGCGGCGCGUCUUAAGCAUGCAAGUCGAACGGCAAGAGAGGAGCUUGCUUCUCUCCUAGAGUGGCGGACUGGUGAGGAACACGUGGGUAAUCUACCCUUAAGAUGGGGAUAGCUGCUAGAAAUAGCAGGUAAUACCGAAUACACUUGGCAUGUCACAAGAGAUGUUGAGGAAAGGAAGCUACGGCUUCGCUUGAGGAUGAGCUUGCGUCCCAUUAGCUAGUUGGUGAGGUAAAGGCCCACCAAGGCGACGAUGGGUAUCCGGCCUGAGAGGGUGAACGGACACAUUGGGACUGAGAUACGGCCCAAACUCCUACGGGAGGCAGCAGCUAAGAAUAUUCCGCAAUGGACGGAAGUCUGACGGAGCGACGCCGCGUGGAUGAAGAAGGCUGAAAAGUUGUAAAAUCCUUUUGUUGAUGAAGAAUAAGGGUGAGAGGGAAUGCUUCAUCUGAUGACGGUAAUCGACGAAUAAGCCCCG
RNAcentral lists this ribosomal RNA (485 nucleotides) under Treponema sp. oral taxon 231. RNAcentral describes it as "bacterial SSU rRNA". It matches the Rfam family "Bacterial small subunit ribosomal RNA", at positions 29 to 495 of the family's 1533-position model. The record is from RNAcentral. Lineage: Bacteria; Pseudomonadati; Spirochaetota; Spirochaetia; Treponematales; Treponemataceae.